UUGAGUAGUAUUAGUUAUGUUCUUGAAACUUAAAAAAUUUGGCGGUAUUUUAGUCUAUUCAGAGGAACCUGUUCUAUAAUCGAUAAUCCACGAUGGACCUAACUUAAAUUUGUACUCAGUUUAUAUACCGUCGUUAUCAGAAUAUUUUAUAAGAAUAAUAAUUUUCUAUAAAUUUAAUUAAAUUAUAUAUCAGAUCAAGGUGUAGCUUAUGUUUAAGUAGAAAUGGGUUACAAUAAAAUUAUUUAUAUGGAUGUAAAUAUGAAAAAUUUAUUGAAAGUGGAUUUGAUAGUAAAAUUAUAUAGAUUAAUAAUUUGACCUUAGCUCUAAAAUAUGCACACAUCGCCCGUCGCUCUUAUUAUUAAGAUAAGAUAAGUCGUAACAUAGUAGAUGUACCGGAAGGUGUCUCUAGAAUGACAAUUUAAAGCUUAUUUAGUAAAGCAUUUCAUUUACAUUGAAAAGAUUUUUGUGCAAAUCAAUAUAAAUUGAUUAAAUUUUAUUUAUUAAUAUUUUUUUUUGAAUUUUAAAAUUAUUAAAAAUAAUUAUAAAAUUAAUUGUUUUAGUAUUGUAUAAAGAAUAAAUAAGUUUAAUAAUAGUUAAUUAGUAUCGUGAGAGAGUAUUGAAAUAAUUUGAAAAA
Molecule: ribosomal RNA, 634 nt
Filed under: Colobaea pectoralis
Lineage: Eukaryota; Metazoa; Arthropoda; Insecta; Diptera; Sciomyzidae
Description: partial 12S ribosomal RNA
Rfam family: tRNA (bases 415-486)
Source: RNAcentral